RNAcentral lists this ribosomal RNA (621 nucleotides) under Ustilago shanxiensis. Its description in RNAcentral is "partial large subunit ribosomal RNA". It matches the Rfam family "Eukaryotic large subunit ribosomal RNA", at positions 68 to 664 of the family's 3401-position model. Lineage: Eukaryota; Fungi; Basidiomycota; Ustilaginomycetes; Ustilaginales; Ustilaginaceae. The record is from RNAcentral.
ACAAAGGAUCCCUAGUAACGGCGAGUGAAGAGGGAAGAGCCCAAGAUUGAAAGCUGGCGUCUUCGGCGUCCGCAUUGUAAUCUCAAGAAGUGUUUUCCGUUUCGGACCAUGCCUAAGUCUCUUGGAAAAGAGCAUCAUAGAGGGUGAUAAUCCCGUACAUGGCAUGGAGCGCCCGAGACUUUGUGAUACGCUUUCUAAGAGUCGAGUUGUUUGGGAAUGCAGCUCAAAAUGGGUGGUAAAUGCCAUCUAAGGCUAAAUAUUGGGGAGAGACCGAUAGCGAACAAGUACAGUGAUGGAAAGAUGAAAAGAACUUUGAAAAGAGAGUUAAACAGUACGUGAAAUUGCCAAAAGGGAAGGGUAGGAGGUCAGAGAUGCGUUCUGGGAUUCAGCCUUGCUUUUGCUUGGUGUUUUUCCCAGAUUGCAGGCCAACGUCGGUUUUGGGCGCUGGAGAAGGGUGGAAGGAAUGUGGCACCUCUCGGGGUGUGUUAUAGCCUUCUACUGGAUACAGUGACCGAGACCGAGGACAGCAGCGUACUCGCAAGAGCGGGCCUUCGGGCACCUUUACGCUUAGGGCGUUGGCAUAAUGGCCCUCUACCACCCGUCUUGAACCACGGGACCAAA